GUCUUUUUGAUUAUAAUUUAAAGUUUGACCUGCCCAAUGAGUAGUUAAAUGGCCGCGGUAAUUUGACCGUGCAAAGGUAGCAUAAUCAUUAGUUUUUUAAUUGGAAGCUGGAAUGAAUGGUUGGACGAGAAAAUAGCUGUCUCAAUUUAAUUUUAUGUAGAAUUUUAUUUAUAAGUAAAAAAGCUUAUAUGAAUUUAAAAGACGAGAAGACCCUAUAGAAUUUUAUAUAGAAUUAUAUAAUUAUUUUUUAGAAUAAAUAAAUGGUUAUAUUUUUUUAUAUUUUGUUGGGGUGAUAGAAAAAUUUAAUGAACUUUUUUUUUAUAAAUUCAUUAAUUAAUGUUUAGUUGAUCCAUUAUUUAUGAUUAUAAGAUUAAAUUACCUUAGGGAUAACAGCGUAAUUUUUUUUUAGAGUUCUUAUCGAAAAAAGAGUUUGCGACCUCGAUGUUGGAUUAAAAUUAACUUUUGGUGUAGGUGCUAAAAGGUUAGGUCUGUUCGACCUUUAAAAUUUUACAUGAUCUGAGU
This 522-nucleotide ribosomal RNA is filed under the name Cyclocephala nigritarsis. RNAcentral describes it as "partial 16S ribosomal RNA". It matches the Rfam family "Bacterial large subunit ribosomal RNA", at positions 1819 to 2610 of the family's 2925-position model. The record is from RNAcentral. Lineage: Eukaryota; Metazoa; Arthropoda; Insecta; Coleoptera; Scarabaeidae.